CCUACGGGAGGCAGCAGUGAGGAAUAUUGGACAAUGGGCGCAAGCCUGAUCCAGCCAUGCCGCGUGCAGGAAGACGGUCCUAUGGAUUGUAAACUGCUUUUGUACAGGAAGAAACACUCCCUCGUGAGGGAGCUUGACGGUACUGUAAGAAUAAGGAUCGGCUGACUCCGUGCCAGCAGCCGCGGUAAUACGGAGGAUCCAAGCGCUAUCCGGAAUCAUUGGGUUUAAAGGGUCCGUAGGCGGUUUAAUAAGUCAGUGGUGAAAUCUGGUCGCUCAACGAUCAAACGGCCAUUGAUACUGUUAGACUUGAAUUAUUAGGAAGUAACUAGAAUAUGUAGUGUAGCGGUGAAAUGCUUAGAUAUUACAUGGAAUACCAAUUGCGAAGGCAGGUUACUACUAAUGGAUUGACGCUGAUGGACGAAAGCGUGGGGAGCGAACAGGAUUAGAUACCCUGGUAGUCCACGCCGUAAACGAUGGAUACUAGCUGUUCGGAGCAAUCUGNGUGNGUAGACGAAGUAGAGUAAGUAUACCACCGUACGGGAGGUACGUUACGCGAGAAGUAGAACGUACGAACGUAAGUUAGUACGGACGUAGAGACGUUAGACGACGGACGACGACGAGGGAGGAGG
RNAcentral lists this ribosomal RNA (629 nucleotides) under uncultured bacterium. RNAcentral describes it as "bacterial SSU rRNA". The stretch from base 1 to 534 matches the Rfam family "Bacterial small subunit ribosomal RNA", at positions 338 to 873 of the family's 1533-position model. The record is from RNAcentral.